RNAcentral lists this long non-coding RNA (729 nucleotides) under Coffea arabica (coffee). RNAcentral's name for it is "long non-coding RNA (CARA_LNC002651)". The record is from RNAcentral. Lineage: Eukaryota; Viridiplantae; Streptophyta; Magnoliopsida; Gentianales; Rubiaceae.
GGUAGCUUUAUUUAUGUUGGAAAUUUGGUGUGUGGGCUCUAUGAACUCCCACUAUGGCUUAAUGGACUGAUUUUGUGAGGUUUUUGUUAAUAAUGCUGGAUUAGUGCUUAAAUUAGUAGAAAUGAGUGAUAUUAUGGAUGAAAGCUCAAAGGAAGUGAAGGGGAGAAUUUUUCCAUUUCUGCCCCUGUGAAUGCCGUGACCUUUAGAGCAUUUUUUUGAAGUUCUAUUGACUUGUUUAUAAUGUAUAUAUGUUGUAUGGGUUGUGUGGAAGGUUUCCACAAAAAAUUACGUGAUUUGGUUGGUCAAAUGUGGUGAUUUCGAAAGUUCAUUCAAAACUAGAAUUUUUCCCGUAUUGCACUGGCAGUGUUUUUCAAACAGAUAUAACUUUUUGCUCCGACGUCGAAUUCGAGUGCCGUUUGUGGCACUGGAUACUAGACAUUCCCAUAUUUCCAAAGGUAUGAAAUUCACUUCCUGAUUCCACCUGAGUAAUCCAAACCAAUCGUUUGAACGUGACUGUUCUGUUUCGCUAAUUCACUGGAAGCUCUGUUUUGAGCAGAGAAUUGAUGCCCAAAAAUGAGCUAGUUGUGGAUAGAUUUUUAAAAUAAUUUCUUCUGAGAAAUUAUAGCUUUAUGAAUGUAGUUUUCAACGCCACCAACCACGCUCAAUUCCAACUUGAAUUGAGUGAGUUGAGGCCAAAGUUCGAAACUGAUUCAGGGAUUGAAAACCCUC